CCUACGGGUGGCUGCAGUGGGGAAUAUUGGACAAUGGGGGGAACCCUGAUCCAGCCAUGCCGCGUGUGUGAAGAAGGCCCUCGGGUUGUAAAGCACUUUCAGUGAGGAAGAACGCCUGGUGGUUAAUACCCAUCAGGAAAGACAUCACUCACAGAAGAAGCACCGGCUAACUCCGUGCCAACAGCCGCGGUAAUACGGAGGGUGCGAGCGUUAAUCGGAAUUACUGGGCGUAAAGCGCGCGUAGGUGGCUUGAUAAGCCGGUUGUGAAAGCCCCGGGCUCAACCUGGGAACGGCAUCCGGAACUGUCAAGCUAGAGUGCAGGAGAGGAAGGUAGAAUUCCCGGUGUAGCGGUGAAAUGCGUAGAGAUCGGGAGGAAUACCAGUGGCGAAGGCGGCCUUCUGGACUGACACUGACACUGAGGUGCGAAAGCGUGGGUAGCAAACAGGAUUAGAUACCCGAGUAGUC
This 465-nucleotide ribosomal RNA is filed under the name Vreelandella stevensii. Its description in RNAcentral is "partial 16S ribosomal RNA". It matches the Rfam family "Bacterial small subunit ribosomal RNA", at positions 338 to 795 of the family's 1533-position model. The record is from RNAcentral. Lineage: Bacteria; Pseudomonadati; Pseudomonadota; Gammaproteobacteria; Oceanospirillales; Halomonadaceae.